This 208-nucleotide ribosomal RNA is filed under the name uncultured Lachnospiraceae bacterium. Its description in RNAcentral is "partial 16S ribosomal RNA". It matches the Rfam family "Bacterial small subunit ribosomal RNA", at positions 568 to 775 of the family's 1533-position model. Lineage: Bacteria; Bacillati; Bacillota; Clostridia; Lachnospirales; Lachnospiraceae. The record is from RNAcentral.
AGCGUAGACGGCAAUGCAAGUCUGGAGUGAAAACCCACAGCUCAACUGUGGGAUUGCUUUGGAAACUGUAUAGCUAGAGUGCAGGAGAGGUAAGUGGAAUUCCUAGUGUAGCGGUGAAAUGCGUAGAUAUUAGGAGGAACACCAGUGGCGAAGGCGGCUUACUGGACUGUAACUGACGUUGAGGCUCGAAAGCGUGGGGAGCAAACAG